This 567-nucleotide non-coding RNA is filed under the name Pongo abelii (Sumatran orangutan). The record is from RNAcentral. Lineage: Eukaryota; Metazoa; Chordata; Mammalia; Primates; Hominidae.
GUAGAUGCGGUUGAGUCCUUGUCCUGGAAGUCGGUCAGCUGAAAAACAAUGUAAAUUCCCGGUUUUGAAGACUUAUUGCUUUCAAAUCUGCUGGCUUUUAAACGGAGGGGCCGGAAUAUCACAGAAGCCUUGGGUAACAGCAAAGUCAAAAGAAUGGUACUUUUAAAAAUGGUGCCUUUGCUGUAAGGAGCAGAGCAUAUUCAAAACUCAUGGGAGCAUCUCAGGUCUCAGGCCAAAUCAUUCAGCUUGUCUUCACACAGCCUGAGUACAGUUAUUUAUAUAAAAACUGUUUCUCUUGUGCCAUCACUUUUUCACUGUGUGUCAUCAGUUUUUGGAAUUUGGCAUUAUUCCUAUAGAGUUUUAUUCUCCUUUCUUAUACAUGUCAUCCAUAUAUUUAUCCAUUCUUUUUUUAUUUUACUUUGAUCAAAGUAUGAGUGUUUUGUCUGAUUCUGCCUUUGCAAAUUUAAAAACUGCUCUAAAAAUUAUUCAUGUGCAUUCCAAAAAUUCGAACAGAAGAAUAAAAUUUUAAAUUCACCUAAAAACCUACUACCAAGAUAUAGCUCCCGU